Molecule: ribosomal RNA, 370 nt
Filed under: uncultured bacterium
Lineage: Bacteria
Description: bacterial SSU rRNA
Rfam family: Bacterial small subunit ribosomal RNA
Source: RNAcentral
AACGAACGCUGGCGGCAGGCCUAACACAUGCAAGUCGAGCGAGAAGCUACCUUCGGGUAGUGGAAAGUGGCAGACGGGUGAGUAACGCGUGGGAACGUGCCUUUCGGUUCGGAAUAACUCAGGGAAACUUGGGCUAAUACCGAAUACGCCCUUCGGGGAAAGAUUUAUCGCCGAAAGAUCGGCCCGCGUCAGAUUAGCUUGUUGGUGAGGUAAUGGCUCACCAAGGCGACGAUCUGUAGCUGGUCUGAGAGGAUGAUCAGCCACACUGGGACUGAGACACGGCCCAGACUCCUACGGGAGGCAGCAGUGGGGGAAUAUUGGACAAUGGGCGAAAGCCUGAUCCAGCCAUGCCGCGUGGUGAAGAAGGCCC